Long non-coding RNA from Penaeus chinensis, 1703 nucleotides. RefSeq lists it as uncharacterized. Lineage: Eukaryota; Metazoa; Arthropoda; Malacostraca; Decapoda; Penaeidae. The record is from RefSeq and is a predicted model, not a curated record. The transcript has 2 exons.
AAAAUAUAUAUAUAUACACAUAUAAACAAUCAUCAUUACCUUCAUCUACAUAAUACAUGAUCCUUAACCCAAUGCAUUUGAAUGAUGUGUACUUCACAUCAUGAUUGAACUGGUUGUGGUUCCAGAUGAUGUGCUAUCCAUAUCAUGGUUGACUUGGCCACGGAUAUGGAGCAUGGAUCGUUUACAUCAUGUUACUAUGAUGCAUGUAUUACAUUCUAUCCUGUUCUUUAUAAGGACCUUCAUGCCCACAAGUCACAUGCCCUUAGGCAUUGCCUGAGGAAGAAUGGGAUAUGUUGGCUAAUAUUUCCUGUAUACAGGGCAAUAUCUCGUACAUAAAUUAUUUGCUUGUUAUCCCAGGGAGAUAUCAUGCUGUAACCCUGCAAGCAACUUAGGUUAAUCUUUACUGUAUGGAAGCACUAAGCUUGGGCAGACAAAUGGUAACACCACAAAUAAAGAAAAAAUAUCACAAAGUACCACUUAAUUUAAAGCCUAAGGGGUGGGGAGGGGAGACAACGCCCCAUCAACCCUGGGCAGUGCCUAAAGGGCACACUCAGUCACAGCAACUUAUUGAAUAGAUUUUGUGGCAUGAAGUUGGGACUUAGUCUCUGGUGAGUGCAUCCAUACUGUAAAGAUGUAUCAUAACCUAUACUAGUUUAUUUAAUACAUAUUGUAUUUGACACACGAGUAUUAUUCUUAAAUCAGGAAAGGUUUCCCAGCUUUUAUACUAUUAUUAAUAAAUAAACAAAUAAAGUAUAAGAAUAAGAAUUUAUAAACAAAUUAACCUUUUUUUUCAAUGCCUCUGUGACAGGCCCCUAACAGUCUUUAUCAAUAAUUUAAUUUGUCUGCCUAAUUAUACAUACCAUGCCUGAAUCUGCUGGCAAGGCACACCUGUAAAGGCAGGGGGGAGGACCCCUCUGAAACCCCUUCAUCUUGGCUCCUGACAAUACAUAUUGUAACAAUAUUCGUUACAAAUGGAAACCUCUAAGUCUGGAGCCAUAUUUCAUAAUAUUAAAAGAAACUAGCAUAACAAAAAGAAUUCUACACAUGCAUUAAAAUUCACUAUCAGUCAAUACCUGAACUAUCAACGUGUACACAAACAUGCUUUAUAAUUACUUCAAUGAACUGGGAAAAGUUAAGGUAAGCAUAGAUUUGUUUAAUACCCUAAUCACAACAUGUAGUGUCUAAUCAUAUCAUUAAAACAAAUCUUCAAAACGAAUGACAUCCAAUCACAUCCUGCUCCAAGUUGUGCAUUACACAGUUCUCUGCUUGUUUGGCCCUGGCUGUGGUCAUGGAGGUGAUGCAGCCACACAAAGGAAAGCUUAAAGCUUUCUUCUUUAGCCACACUUCCAUUUGAGCUACAGCCAUGAGUCUCUGGAGGAUGCAUCAUUCUUGGUAACAAAUACCCCAGUCAAAAUGCAUUGUUAAAUACGGACCAGUUCACCCUUCAUCUAUCAAAAUAUCCAAAAUAAGCAGACGCCAAAGCAUCACUUGCAUCCUGGAUUCCCAAAUAAACAGGCAAUCCUAGGCGGAAGAGGCCCGUGGGCAGCUCGACCAGACCUGUCGUGAGGAGCUAAAGAUGAGCAAAGUGCCUGGUGGCUCGCCCUGAGAGGCAAGCUACCAGAGCGAAGGGUGGAUGCAGCCAUGCGCCCCGUCGGCAUUAGCCACCCCGAUGUUAUGAUAUAAUAAAUCAUACUAGCGUUAAA